GAAUUUAAAUACUUAGAUUCAAUGCUAAAGGUAUGGUUUUAUAAAUAUAUAUAACUUUAUAAAUAUUAAUUAGUCUUUAAAAUUAGAUUGUCGUUAAUUUAGAGAAUUGUUAAGCCAUCCCGAAUGGCUACAGUAUUCCAUAUAUAGAUGUCCCAAUAGAGUGCCAGCAGGCGUGGUUAGACUGAGCAUCUACUUUAGUUCAACUCAAUUUAACUCUAGUAAUUAUACGGCUAUUAACUGGUAAAAUAGGAAGUUAGUCGGCUACUGCUAGUCAAUUUCAGUCACACAAAAGACAAGGAUUAGAUACCCUUUUAUGCGUGAUGAUACUCAACUGAUAAUUUAGUUUAAAAUUUAAACAAUUUGGCGGUAGAGAAAGAACUCAGAGAAACCUGUGUAUUAAUUGGAUGAUCCACCAUUAUUAUUCCUUAGUAUGUAAGUUACCUGUAUGUCUGUUUAGAUUAUUGUUAGAUCUUUAAUCUCCCCUUCAUAUGAAUUUAAUUCAGGUCUAUAUAGGGAUUGUUACUAAGUUGGCAUGGGUUGCACUAUAGCUAUUUAGUAGCCUAGUUAAAAUAGGCUUAAUUUGGAUUUGAAAGUAAAUGUUUGUGUAAGCACAUUGAAUCUUUAUCUCUCUAAGUACAAAUCGCCCGUCACCUCUGUUACAAAAAAGACUGAGUAAGUCGAAACAAAGUAGGUUGGCUGGAAGGGUAACCUGUAUG
RNAcentral lists this non-coding RNA (716 nucleotides) under Brachionus plicatilis. The record is from RNAcentral. Lineage: Eukaryota; Metazoa; Rotifera; Eurotatoria; Ploima; Brachionidae.